AUUGAACGCUGGCGGCAGGCUUAACACAUGCAAGUCGAACGGUAACAGGAAGAAAGCUUGCUUUCUUUGCUGACGAGUGGCGGACGGGUGAGUAAUGCUUGGGAAUCUGUCAUGGAGGGGGAUAACUACGGGAAACUGUAGCUAAUACCGCAUAAUAUCGAGAGAUUAAAUGUGUGGGACCGCAAGGCCACAUGCCAUGAAGUGAGCCCAAGUGGGAUUAGAUAGUUGGUGAGGUAAUGGCUCACCAAGUCGGCGAUCUCUAGCUGGUCUGAGAGGAUGACCAGCCACACUGGGACUGAGACACGGCCCAGACUCCUACGGGAGGCAGCAGUGGGGAAUAUUGCACAAUGGGCGCAAGCCUGAUGCAGCCAUGCCGCGUGAAUGAAGAAGGCCUUCGGGUUGUAAAGUUCUUUCGGUGGUGAGGAAGGUUAGCGUGUUAAUAGCACGUUGACUUGACGUUAGCCACAGAAGAAGCACCGGCUAACUCCGUGCCAGCAGCCGCGGUAAUACGGAGGGUGCGAGCGUUAAUCGGAAUAACUGGGCGUAAAGGGCACGCAGGCGGUGACUUAAGUGGGGUGUGAAAGCCCUGGGCUUAACCUAGGAAUUGCAUUUCAUACUGGGUCGCUAGAGUAUUUUAGGGAGGGGUAGAAUUCCACGUGUAGCGGUGAAAUGCGUAGAGAUGUGGAGGAAUACCGAAGGCGAAGGCAGCCCCUUGGGAAUAUACUGACGCUCAUGUGCGAAAGCGUGGGGAGCAAACAGG
Molecule: ribosomal RNA, 760 nt
Filed under: uncultured bacterium
Lineage: Bacteria
Description: bacterial SSU rRNA
Rfam family: Bacterial small subunit ribosomal RNA
Source: RNAcentral